AGGUCCUACGGGGCGCAGCAGUGGGGAAUACUGCACAAUGGGGGAAACCCUGAUGCAGCAACGCCGCGUGAGUGAGGAAGUAUUUCGGUAUGUAAAACUCUAUCAGCAGGGAAUAGAAAAGAAGGUACCUGAAAAAGAAGCCCCGGCUAACUACGUGCCAGCAGCCGCGGUAAUACGUAGGGGGCAAGCGUUAUCCGGAUUUACUGGGUGUAAAGGGCGUGUAGGCGGGAGUGCAAGUCAGAUGUGAAAACUAUGGGCUCAACCC
RNAcentral lists this ribosomal RNA (265 nucleotides) under uncultured bacterium. RNAcentral's name for it is "partial 16S ribosomal RNA". It matches the Rfam family "Bacterial small subunit ribosomal RNA", at positions 334 to 615 of the family's 1533-position model. The record is from RNAcentral.